UUUAUGGAGAGUUUGAUCCUGGCUCAGGACGAACGCUGGCGGCGUGCCUAAUACAUGCAAGUCGAGCGCGG
This is a ribosomal RNA of Halobacillus karajensis, 71 nucleotides long. It matches the Rfam family "Bacterial small subunit ribosomal RNA", at positions 1 to 71 of the family's 1533-position model. Lineage: Bacteria; Bacillati; Bacillota; Bacilli; Caryophanales; Bacillaceae. The record is from Rfam.